Cydia amplana is the source of this 380-nucleotide long non-coding RNA. RefSeq lists it as uncharacterized. Lineage: Eukaryota; Metazoa; Arthropoda; Insecta; Lepidoptera; Tortricidae. The record is from RefSeq and is a predicted model, not a curated record. The transcript has 2 exons.
GAUAAAGCUGACUUUUUAUGCCAUAAGGGAUUUUAACUAAUCUGGCACUUACGCUAUUAUUAACAUGGAAUGAAUACAAAAUCCAACAUAUUUGAAGUAAGCGACAAUUCCUAUAAUGAAUUAUAUUCUGUGAUUUUAUUAAAACAAUUGCCUCACCCAUUUUUUCCAUUAUGUGAAACCUAUAAAUAUAAGUAAUGUACUAUUGACACACUUUAUGUUUUGUCGUUGUCAUAUACUUGGUGUAUUUUAUUUUUUAGAAGAAGUAAUUAAAAUGACGUAUCGUUUUUUUCUCAUUGUUUGUCUUCAGGUGUUUUAUCAGAAUGCACACUCCCAAGCCAUCAGCCCAGCCAUAGAACCUACUGAAGUUACCAUCACCAAAA